GACGAACGCUGGCGGCGUGCUUAACACAUGCAAGUCGAACGGAAAGGCCCUGCUUUUGUGGGGUGCUCGAGUGGCGAACGGGUGAGUAACACGUGAAUAACCUGCCCUUGACUUUGGGAUAACUUCAGGAAACUGGAGCUAAUACCGGAUAGGAGCUCCUGCUGCAUGGUGGGGGUUGGAAAGUUUCGGCGGUUGGGGAUGGACUCGCGGCUUAUCAGCUUGUUGGUGGGGUAGUGGCUUACCAAGGCUUUGACGGGUAGCCGGCCUGAGAGGGUGACCGGCCACAUUGGGACUGAGAUACGGCCCAGACUCCUACGGGAGGCAGCAGUGGGGAAUAUUGCACAAUGGGCGGAAGCCUGAUGCAGCAACGCCGCGUGCGGGAUGACGGCCUUCGGGUUGUAAACCGCUUUCGCCUGUGACGAAGCGUGAGUGACGGUAAUGGGUAAAGAAGCACCGGCUAACUACGUG
This 468-nucleotide ribosomal RNA is filed under the name uncultured bacterium. Its description in RNAcentral is "partial 16S ribosomal RNA". It matches the Rfam family "Bacterial small subunit ribosomal RNA", at positions 28 to 507 of the family's 1533-position model. The record is from RNAcentral.